GCCGCGGUAAUACAGAGGGUGCAAGCGUUUAUCGGAAUUACUGGGCGUAAAGCGCGCGUAGGCGGUUUGUUAAGUCGGAUGUGAAAUCCCUGGGCUCAACCUAGGCACUGCAUCCGAUACUGGCUAACUAGAGUGUGGGAGAGGAAGGUAGAAUUCCAGGUGUAGCGGUGAAAUGCGUAGAGAUCUGGAGGAAUACCGAUGGCGAAGGCAGCCUUCUGGCCUAACACUGACGCUGAGGUGCGAAAGCAUGGGGAGCAAACAGGAUUAGAUACCCUGGUAGUCCAUGCUGUAAACGAUGUCAACUAGCCGUUGGGGUCUUUAAGACUUUAGUGGCGUAGCUAACGCGAUAAGUUGACCGCCAGGGGAGUACGGUCGCAAGACUAAAACUCAAAUGAAUUGACGGGGGCCCGCACAAGCGGUGGAGCAUGUGGUUUAAUUCGAUGCAACGCGAAGAACCUUACCUAGCCUUGACAUGUCUGGAAUCUUGUAGAGAUACGAGAGUGCCUUCGGGAAUCAGAACACAGGUGCUGCAUGGCUGUCGUCAGCUCGUGUCGUGAGAUGUUGGGUUAAGUCCCGCAACGAGCGCAACCCUUAUCCUUAUUUGCCAGCACUUCGGGUGGGAACUCUAAGGAGACUGCCGGUGACAAACCGGA
Molecule: ribosomal RNA, 653 nt
Filed under: uncultured freshwater bacterium
Lineage: Bacteria
Description: bacterial SSU rRNA
Rfam family: Bacterial small subunit ribosomal RNA
Source: RNAcentral